Molecule: long non-coding RNA, 995 nt
Organism: Amborella trichopoda
Lineage: Eukaryota; Viridiplantae; Streptophyta; Magnoliopsida; Amborellales; Amborellaceae
Source: RefSeq, a predicted model, not a curated record
CUAUCCCUAGCCUCUCACCUUAUAUCCUCAAAGCUCCAGCAAACUCUAGGUAAUUUAAAACCUGAAUUUCAUAAAACUACAGUUAAAUCCUAGAGAAGUAGACAACCUUGUUCUUACCGAUCAAAGCCCAUGUGAAAAUUCAGAGGCAUUUUUUCCUUAAGAGUUCAAGAAAACUUUUGGUUCAGCAAACCUCGAAGGUGAAAGGAGGAUGGAUUCAUCUUCAGACUGAUCCAGGCCCAACUCUAGUUACUAAGCCAAAUGGCCCGGCUUCUAGUGCUAGCAAGUGAAGAGAUGCCCUGCAAUACCGGUGAGACCAAUGCCAAUAAGUCGGAUAGAACUGCCGUUGACUAUCAGCCACACCGCCGCUGCUUUUUGAGACCCAAGAUAAAGUAUUGGGGAGCUCAAUGGCAAAAUCCAUGACCAUAAAGAAGUAUAGAGUUGGAAAUAGGAUUACCAUAAUCCACACGCGUGUGGCGUGGUAUGGUAAAUGGAGGUUUGAUGCUCAAGUUGGUGAUAUGUACCAUACACUCGUCCUUUUUUUUUUUCUUUUUUUAUUUGGGUACGUUAGUGGAGAAGAAGGCCUCUACCUGUUUUUUAUUAGUAUUUUAAAAUAAAGAUAAUUACAACUCAUUUUUUUAUAACCCUGAUUUAAAAGAGAUAUAGCCUUCUAUACAAGAAUAUCAACCACUAUGUUGGACUCACAAAAAAUGUGGAAGCAGGACCAUCGAUGAUUAGAAAGUAGUUGGGACCAUCGAUGAUUAGAAAGUAGUUGUCUACAAUUUGCUGCCAUCGUAUAUAACUUCCAAAAAGGUCGACAAUGUUCAUGAAUAAUAUCAACGAGCAAAACCUGAAUCACUUUCAAUCUGAAGAGAGAAAAAAAUUAGCUGAACGGCUAAAACCAAACCCUUUUCAAGAGCACAUAAACGGACUUCAAUGAAAAGAGAAUUCAAAUGAUACUGCGAAAUGAUAUAUGUGAAAAAAACUAAUGUCCUAAA